Molecule: long non-coding RNA, 214 nt
Filed under: Mytilus galloprovincialis (Mediterranean mussel)
Lineage: Eukaryota; Metazoa; Mollusca; Bivalvia; Mytilida; Mytilidae
Source: RNAcentral
CUGAAUUGUAAAUCGAUAAAUGUCGUCUACGGAUUAGAGUGUAACCUUUUUGGAUUGUUAUACGUCGGUAAAACAAAAGGAAGGUUUAACAAACAUGCGGUCAUAGAUCAGACAUUAACCUCAAUGCAAACGACAUUCUUUACCAGCAUCUUAAUCAGCCUGAUCAUUCCAUUGUUUCCAUGACAGUUCGCAUUAUCGAAAAAUAUACCAAAGC